This 581-nucleotide long non-coding RNA is filed under the name Rhinopithecus bieti (black snub-nosed monkey). RNAcentral's name for it is "lncRNA (ENSRBIG00000045046.1)". The record is from RNAcentral. Lineage: Eukaryota; Metazoa; Chordata; Mammalia; Primates; Cercopithecidae.
AUUUAUUAAUAUGAUUUAAAUUAAUUAGAUCCCUAAAUAAUGAAUGUACUUAAUUGAGAACCAAUAUUUUGACUGUAGACUAUCCACAUGCACCUGUGGAUUGGCCUGUGCAGAAAGAACACCUGCGAUUUUCUGUUUUUCUGGCAUGCUCCCAUCAUGCACUGUCUGGUCCCUCAAAUUGCUAUUUAUGCACUUAUUUCUAUUUUAAUCCUGCCCACCUCCAUUGCAGGGUAGGCUCAGCGAACAGCUGUGCCUCUGUUGCAUGGUUUAUUCUCGGAGUCUCUGUGCAGUGCCUCAACCCUGAUGGAAACUUAGGAAUCCUGCAUUCACUGAAUAGUGAACUCUGUGAUUGUGACAUCAGCUCCGGGUCCGAGUCUACAUUCCGGGGCAGCCUGGCUCCCAUAGCUCAGGGAAUUGUGACACUCCCAUUGGGCAGUUGUGGUGGUCUCUCCCAUAUGGCCCAGAUCCACUACUCUGUCAAAGGUUGCACCACCCAGACAAAAACAGGACACAGCAGUGUGUCAAUGAGCCAUGCUUUCUCCUGCCUUCCACAUCAUAAAAGGACUGCACAGUGUAUCUGA